Molecule: ribosomal RNA, 497 nt
Filed under: uncultured bacterium
Lineage: Bacteria
Description: partial 16S ribosomal RNA
Rfam family: Bacterial small subunit ribosomal RNA
Source: RNAcentral
GAUGAACGCUGGCGGCGUGCCUAAUACAUGCAAGUCGAGCGAACGGACGAGAAGCUUGCUUCUCUGAUGUUAGCGGCGGACGGGUGAGUAACACGUGGAUAACCUACCUAUAAGACUGGGAUAACUUCGGGAAACCGGAGCUAAUACCGGAUAAUAUUUUGAACCGCAUGGUUCAAAAGUGAAAGACGGUCUUGCUGUCACUUAUAGAUGGAUCCGCGCUGCAUUAGCUAGUUGGUAAGGUAACGGCUUACCAAGGCAACGAUGCAUAGCCGACCUGAGAGGGUGAUCGGCCACACUGGAAAUGAGACACGGUCCAGACUCCUACGGGAGGCAGCAGUAGGGAAUCUUCCGCAAUGGGCGAAAGCCUGACGGAGCAACGCCGCGUGAGUGAUGAAGGUCUUCGGAUCGUAAAAAUCUGUUAUUAGGGAAGAACAUAUGUGUAAGGAACUGUGCACAUAUUGACGGUACCUAAUCAGAAAGCCACGGCUAACUACGUG